RNAcentral lists this ribosomal RNA (2109 nucleotides) under Triticum aestivum (bread wheat). RNAcentral's name for it is "partial small subunit ribosomal RNA". The record is from RNAcentral. Lineage: Eukaryota; Viridiplantae; Streptophyta; Magnoliopsida; Poales; Poaceae.
AUGGGGUCCGGUUCCAAGGCUGCUUCAAGGAAGUCGACGGCGUCGUGGUCGUCGUCGUCCUCGUGGAGGUCACUCCUCCACGAUUGCCUCGGCGGGACCAUGGCGGCUGGGGAGAACGUCCCGGCAAGCGACGGGUUGGCGGAGCAGCCACUGCCGAUCGUCACGAACCACGACCUGCCGCUGGCGGCGUCCAACUCCAACCUGCACGCCUUCACGUUCGCGGAGCUGAGCGCGGCGACCGAGGGGUUCGCCUGCUGCAACCAGAUCGGCAGCGGCGAGUUCGGGACGGCGUACAGGGGAUUCAUCGUGGACGGUGUCCGGCCGGGGCUCCCCGCGCAGCUCGUCGCCGUCAAGCGGACACGGUGGCGGGUCGACGACUACGUCGAGGGAAUGGUGAAGGAGGCGAUGUUCCUUGGGGAGGUGCAGCUGCGGCAUCCCUGCCUGGUGAAGAUGAUCGGCUACUGCUGUGAGGAGGAGCACAGGCUCCUGGUCUACGAGUUCAUGGCCCAUGGCAGCUUGGACGACUACUUCUUCAAGCCUUUUUAUCGUCCUUUGCUGCCAUGGUCAACCAGACUAAGCAUUGUCUUAGCUACGGCGAAAGGGCUGGUGUCCCUCCACAGCGCCGAGAAGCCCUUGAUCUGCGGCGAAUUCAAUGCCUCCGACAUCCUACUGGACUCUGAUAACAAUGCCAAGAUCUCGCUCUCGGGCCUGAGGCUCGACACGAGAGCGAGCGACGGCUCGGUCACCACCACGCGCUCGCGCCUAGGAACUCCGCGCGGCAGCGCACCAGAGUACGUCAUGUCCGGCCAUCUCACCACGAAAUGCGACGUGUACAGCUUCGGGGUGGUGUUGUUGGAGAUUCUGAUCACAGGGAUGAAGUGGAUAGACAUGAAAAGACCAGUCAAGGAGGAGCGGGACCUGCUGGAGCACGCGCGGCCGAAUCUCGAAGACCCGGUUAAACUGGCAGGGAUCAUGGAUAAAGCGUUGAAGGGCAUCUACCCAGUGGCAGCUGCACACAAGGCUGCCCUGGUCACAUACAAGUGUCUCCAUGUCAAACCCGAGGACAGGCCAGACAUGUCGGACGUCAUGAAGACGCUGGAUCUGCUUACCGACGCUGCCGUCAAGGAGGAUCAGUUGCCGGUGCCGGCGCCUGUGUCGCCCAACUCCAACCUACACAGGUUCACCUUCGCGGAGCUGACCGCCGCGACUGGAGGGUUCGCCUCAGGAAACAAAAUCGGCAGCGGCAGUUUCGGGACGGUGUACAGGGGAUCCCUCGAGGACGGCAUCCGACCGGGGCUCCGAGCGCAGCCCGUCGCCGUCAAGAGAGCGCGAGCCGACGACUACCACUCCGAGGAACAUCUGAAAGAUUCCAUAUUCCUGGGGGAGCUGCAGCCGCGGCAGCCGAGCCUGGUGAAGAUGAUCGGCUACUGCUACGAGGGGCUGCACAGGCUUCUCGUCUACGAGCUAAUGGGCCAUGGCAGCUUGGCAAACUACCUCUCCAAUGAUAUCCGUGUUGUGUUGUCAUGGUCAACACGGUUAAGCAUUGCUCUAGCUACCGCGAAAGGGUUGUUGUCCCUCCAUGGUGAAGAGAAGCCAUUGAUCUCCGCCAAAUUUAACGCCUCCAACAUCUUACUAGACUCGUAUAACAAUGUCAAGCUAUCAGACCUGUGGUUUGCCAAAAAAUACGGGAAAGGUGACGAUCCUAACGUGUACACACUCAUAACAAGUGGGUACGGCUCUGCGCCGGAGUACGUCAUGUCCGGGGACUUCACCAAAAAGAGCGACGUGUACUGCUUUGGAGUGGUGUUACUGGAGAUCCUAACCGGGCAGAGGUUGGCCUGGUUGGCCUGUGCUUCAGAACAGUACCCGCGGAACCUACGACCACGUCUGAGAGACCCGCUCAAGCUAGGGAGGAUCAUGGACCCUGUGUUGAAAGACAUUUACCCGGUGGCAGUGGCACAUGAUGCUUGCAUGGUCGCGUAUAGGUGCCUUCACGCAAGCCCCGGGAAACGUCCAAGCAUGUUGGCUGUUGUGGAGGCGCUUGAUUUGCUUGUUGGUGUCACCAUCGUGGAUGAGGUUGAUGUUGGUCAGACAAGCACAAGGCCGUGA